UGCUAAUACCGGAUAACAACAGAUGAUGCCUAUCAACUGUUUAAAAGAUGGUUCUGCUAUCACUCUUGGAUGGACCUGCGGUGCAUUAGCUAGUUGGUAGGGUAACGGCCUACCAAGGCGAUGAUGCAUAGCCGAGUUGAGAGACUGAUCGGCCACAUUGGGACUGAGACACGGCCCAAACUCCUACGGGAGGCAGCAGUU
RNAcentral lists this ribosomal RNA (201 nucleotides) under uncultured Lactobacillus sp. RNAcentral describes it as "partial 16S ribosomal RNA". It matches the Rfam family "Bacterial small subunit ribosomal RNA", at positions 161 to 355 of the family's 1533-position model. Lineage: Bacteria; Bacillati; Bacillota; Bacilli; Lactobacillales; Lactobacillaceae. The record is from RNAcentral.